AGAGUUUGAUCAUGGCUCAGGAUGAACGCUAGCUACAGGCUUAACACAUGCAAGUCGAGCGGUAUGUGCUUUAGUGCAUACAGCGGCAGACGGGUGAGUAACACGUAUCUAACCUUCCCCUUACUUGGGCAUAGCCUCUGGAAACGGAGAUUAAUUUCCGAUGUGGUGUACAUUUCGCAUGUUUUGCGCACCAAAGAUUUAUCGGUAAGGGAUGGGGAUGCGCUCCAUUAGGUUGUAGGUAGGGUAAUGGCCUACCUAGCCUAUGAUGGAUAGGGGUUCUGAGAGGAAGGUCCCCCACAUUGGAACUGCGACACGGUCCAAACUCCUACGGGAGGCAGCAGUGAGGAAUAUUGGUCAAUGGCCGGAAGGCUGAACCAGCCAAGUAGCGUGCAGGAUGACUGCCUUAUGGGUUGUAAACUGCUUUUUUACGGGAAUAAUUAUGAUCACGUGUGAUUAUUUGCAUGUACCGUAAGAAUAAGGAUCGGCUAACUCCGUGCCAGCAGCCGCGGUAAUACGGAGGAUCCUAGUGUUAUCCGGAUUUAUUGGGUUUAAAGGGAGCGUAGGCGGGAGGUCAAGUCAGCUGUGAAAUGUAUCUGCUUAACGGGUACACUGCAGUUGAAACUGGUUUUCUUGAGUGCGUAAGAGGCAGGCGGAAUUCGUUGUGUAGCGGUGAAAUGCUUAGAUAUGACGAGGAACUCCUAUUGCGAAGGCAGCUUGCUGGGUCGUUACUGACGCUGAUGCUCGAAGGUGCGGGGAUCAAACAGGAUUAGAUACCCUGGUAGUCCGCACAGUAAACUAUGGAUACUCUCUGCCGGCGAUACAUUGUCGGUGGCCAAGCGAAAGCGUUAAGUACCCCACCUGGGGAGUACGUUCGCAAGAAUGAAACUCAAAUGAAUUGACGG
This 902-nucleotide ribosomal RNA is filed under the name uncultured bacterium. RNAcentral describes it as "bacterial SSU rRNA". It matches the Rfam family "Bacterial small subunit ribosomal RNA", at positions 8 to 916 of the family's 1533-position model. The record is from RNAcentral.